AAACAUUUUGAGAUUUAUACAUUUUUGUUUUUGUCACUUUGUGGAACCUAUAAGUUAGAAAAUGUAAUAAAAAUAUUCAAGUUGGCCCAUGUUGUUGCACUUUAAGUUAGGUAACAGAUCAAUUCCAACUCACCAAAUGAUUAUUAUAUGAAAUAAAGAAAAAAUUAAAAAAAUGGACCAUAUGCUAAAAAACAUGAUCUUCGACAAAAGAUCCUCUUUUUCCAUUUUGUAGUGUUUAUGACGUGUAAAUAUGUAACUAGUUUAAUGUCUUUGUCAGUGUAUGCUCUUUUGUAUAUAUUUAACAUUUUUAAAAGAUUUGUAAACCAUAUAAUAUAUUAUUUAAUCAAAUAAUAGAUAUGCAUAUUAGAAAAUGUAACAGAAAUAGAUAUGUAUAUGUUUUUAAUAGUAGAACUUUGGCUACGGUCUGAUCUUAUCGAUCUAAAUGAAAAAAAAAAAAUUAAAAUAUAUUUGUAAUACGACUAAUUCAAAUAAUUAGUCAAAUUUAAAUAGGAAAAAAAUCACCAUAUUAAAGAAAUAUUAACUUAAUAAAUUUCUUAAUUGUAGACUACAUUGAACAACUAAAUAAAGUUGUAAUUAACUAUAAAAAUAAUUAAGAAGUUUUGAACAAUUUUCAAAAUUAAUUUUAUGGUAUCAUCUUUAAAGUCAAUCGAAUUAUCGAUUUCUAGAUUUUGAAAUUGUAUUUUAA
RNAcentral lists this long non-coding RNA (706 nucleotides) under Capsella rubella. Its description in RNAcentral is "long non-coding RNA (CRUB_LNC004092)". The record is from RNAcentral. Lineage: Eukaryota; Viridiplantae; Streptophyta; Magnoliopsida; Brassicales; Brassicaceae.